ACUGAUGAAGUAAAUUUUUGAAGGAAAACCCCUCAAUAACGCAGGAUUUUGUUUUUCAUGACGAUGGCAGAGAAUCUAUCCCUCCCGGAAACGAGUCGGCAGGUGUGCGCAUGCGCAUCAGCCCAGCUGCCUCCUUUUCCGUCUUCUCCUUCUCGAACGUUCCAUCUUCCACGCGGCAGCAGCGUGAGUAUCGUCGCAAGUCCGACUUGACGACUCUGCUUCAUUUUUUUCCUAGAUUCGCUUGACUUAUUAUUUGAACAACGGCGACGUUGCUUUGAAGGCGUGCGACAGUUGAGCUUUUCAUUUCAUUUCAUUAUUUCAUCAACAUUCUGACCCUCAAACAUGUAUAAUUAUCAUAUACGAUAGGCAUAGUAAUCGAUCCGUCGAGCUUUAAAAAAUAAAAUAAAAUUUAAAAAAGAAGCUUGAAGCAGUGGCGUCCAAAUGAAGAGAGCACGUGACGUGACACGGACGUUGUUCCUUUGCAGGAGCUGCCAUGACCCACGUUGGCCGCAAGAUGGCGGCAGAAACCGCAGUAAACGUUUGACGUUUGUCACGAAGUAGUCACAUUUUCAUUUUGUCAAUAAUAAAGCUAUUUUGCACUUUA
Long non-coding RNA from Phycodurus eques (leafy seadragon), 604 nucleotides. RefSeq lists it as uncharacterized. The record is from RefSeq and is a predicted model, not a curated record. The transcript has 2 exons. NCBI's taxonomy places the organism in Eukaryota, Metazoa, Chordata, Actinopteri, Syngnathiformes, Syngnathidae.